UGAAUUGACGGGGAGCACCACAACAGGUGGAGCCUGCGGUUUAAUCGGACUCAACGCCGGGAAACUCACCAGAUAAGACAGCUGAAUGAUAGUCGGGCUGAAGACUCUACUUGACUAGCUGAGAGGAGGUGCAUGGCCGUCGUCAGUUCGUACUGUGAAGCAUCCUGUUAAGUCAGGCAACGAGCGAGACCCACGCCCACAGUUGCCAGCGUACUCUCUGGAGUGACGGGUACACUGUGGGGACCGCCGCUGCUAAAGCGGAGGAAGGAAUGGGCAACGGUAGGUCAGUAUGCCCCGAAUAUCCCGGGCUACACGCGAGCUACAAUGGUUGGUACAAUGGGUAUCUACCCCGAAAGGGGACGGGAAUCUCCUAAAACCAAUCUUAGUUCGGAUUGAGGGCUGCAACUCGCCCUCAUGAAGCUGGAAUCCGUAGUAAUCGCGUUUCAACAGAACGCGGUGAAUACGUCCCUGCUCCUU
Molecule: ribosomal RNA, 477 nt
Filed under: uncultured Methanolinea sp.
Lineage: Archaea; Methanobacteriati; Methanobacteriota; Methanomicrobia; Methanomicrobiales; Methanoregulaceae
Description: bacterial SSU rRNA
Rfam family: Archaeal small subunit ribosomal RNA
Source: RNAcentral